AGCGACUUUAAUGCCUGGAAUUUAUUCAAAUAUUUGAGUGAUGCAAGCUAUCGGGGCCUUAUGGCGAUUGUUCGCCUUCGUGACUAAUGUCGACAGGAAUUCGAAACAUGUGGGCGUGUGGAGGUAAUUGGUCGUCGGAAUAUGGAUAGUAAAUAAAUACCUAGUCUUUUUCUUCUUUAUUCCAUUGUUAUCAGUCUUCUUCUUGGAAUCUUUCUUGGCUGGCUGGGCCUCGUUGCUGACUGAAAAAUAAAUUACAAACGUCCUGUUUAUGUUGAAAAAUAAGAAAACCAAGAAGGCCCUGUUGGAGCGUCGUGGAGGUGGGCGUCGCCGCGCUGGACGUCGAGGUGGUCACGUCCUGGGUCUGAGGAAGAGGCGCGUACAUCCCAGCUAGCUCGAGCUCCUUCAGCUCCUUCUGUUGCUGCUGCUGUUGCAGGUG
Hylaeus anthracinus is the source of this 436-nucleotide long non-coding RNA. RefSeq lists it as uncharacterized. Lineage: Eukaryota; Metazoa; Arthropoda; Insecta; Hymenoptera; Colletidae. The transcript has 3 exons. The record is from RefSeq and is a predicted model, not a curated record.